GACGAACGCUGGCGGCGUGCUUAACACAUGCAAGUCGAGCGGUAAGGCCCUUUCGGGGGUACGACGAGCGGCGAACGGGUAGAGUAACACGUGGGUGACCUGCCCUCAGCUCUGGGAUAAGCCUGGGAAACCGGGGUCUAAUACUGGAUAUGACUCCAUGACGCAUGUUGUGGGGUGGAAAGCCUUGUGCGGCUGAGGAUGGGCCCGCGGCCUAUCAGCUUGUUGGUGGGGUGAGGCCUACCAAGGCGACGACGGGUAGCCGGCCUGAGAGGGCGACCGGCCACACUGGGACUGAGACACGGCCCAGACUCCUACGGGAGGCAGCAGUGGGGAAUCUUGCGCAAUGGGCGAAAGCCUGACGCAGCGACGCCGCGUGAGGGAUGACGGCCUGU
RNAcentral lists this ribosomal RNA (392 nucleotides) under uncultured bacterium. Its description in RNAcentral is "bacterial SSU rRNA". It matches the Rfam family "Bacterial small subunit ribosomal RNA", at positions 28 to 419 of the family's 1533-position model. The record is from RNAcentral.